RNAcentral lists this long non-coding RNA (3593 nucleotides) under Equus caballus (horse). RNAcentral's name for it is "lncRNA (ENSECAG00000037936.2)". The record is from RNAcentral. Lineage: Eukaryota; Metazoa; Chordata; Mammalia; Perissodactyla; Equidae.
AGACAAACAAAAGAAUUAAGUAGGAGGAUAGUGGGAGGAGGGGUGUGACAUCGGUGGUCUUGCUUGGCUUUUCUAAAGAAACAAUAUUUAAGCCAAGAAUUUGAAAUAUGUGAAAUCAACCAUGAAAAGAAAAAAAAUAUUUGGGAAAAGGUCGGUUGUUCCAGGUAGAGAAGCGCACAUGGGCACAGACUCUGCGAUCACAAAACUGAUGACCUGGGAGAACCGAAAUGAGACCAGUGCGGCUGGAACUUGGUGGGAGAGCUGAGCACGCCUGGAGGGAGGCAGGGGUCGUGCACUCGGUAUGUCCACUGAGCUGAGUCUCAGGAACUGUCCUAGGAAGGACACAGCCGUGAGCCAAAGGACCCAGUUCCUCAGGUUUUUCUGAUGGAGAUGGAUAGAGGGUGAACAAACAAGACAAAGUGAAUCGUAACUUCGGGGAGUAAUAGUUGCCUCUGAGGAAAUAGAGCAAGUUCUAAAGAGAAAGAGAUGGAGUCUUAAUUAAGAAACGUUAUUUGAGGCAGGCCAUUCUGAGGAGGUUAUAUUUUAAAAGAGACAUAAAUUGAGAGAAUCAUCCAUACAGAAUCUAUGAAAACAGAUUUUAUGACAAAGAAUACAAGAGCAAAGGAAAUAAGCGUCGUGGCUGAUGUGAUCCAGUCUCCCUCCCUGGUUCCCCCGUUGGAUGUAAUCUACCGCCCUGACGGCUCAGACCCUCCGAUUCUCCCAGUUCCCCUGCAGUUUGCCUUCCUUGGCAACGACUCCACUGGAACAACACCAGCUUUACUCCGGGCCCCGGUGCUUGGCAAACUUAAGUUUCCUGCUCUCUGUAGACGGCUUUUCUGAAAUACGACCCUGGCUGAGCUGCAGACUGUGUUUGUGAUCUCGUGAAGAAUUUGCCCUCAGUAAGAGUGGCUACUGGCGAACUGUGCGGCAGCCCCACGGCCCUUCUAGAGUUGGGCGUAUUCCUCCUCAGUUGACGCUGUACCUAUUUCUGGGCCCAGAUCUUCAGGAUGUGUUCUGAUGCCUGCCAUCUAGAGGGCGCGAAGAACAACUUUAUGCCUUUUUUUGGGUGAACUUAAUUCAGAAUUUAUAUGCUGACUGACGGACAAAGCAGAACUCCUUUUUGAGCCUUUAGUGUAUGAGCACCAUGCAGUUUAUGAUAACAUGUACAUCUCUCUGCUUCUCUUCUCCACACUUACCCUUCAGCUCUGUGGUCCACGCGAUCUCAAUGACACUUUUCCACAAGGCUACUAAUAAGGGCUUCUCAGAAAAUAUAAUGGAUGGUUUGUAGUUCUUACUUCACUUGACUUCUCAGGAGUAUUUACCAACAUUGGCCAUUUUCUCUGCUGUGGUCUGAAUGUUUGUGUCCCCCCCCAAAUUCAUAUGUUUAAAGCCUAAUGCCCAACAGGAUGAUAUUAGAAGGUGGGGGUCUUCAGAGGUGAUUAGGUCGUGAGGCUGGGGCCCUCGUAAAUGGGAUUAGUGCUCUCAUGAAAGAGACCCCACAGAGCUCCUUAACCCCUUCUGCCUUGUGAGACACAAUGAGAAGUUGCAACCAGAAGGAGAGCCCUCACUCUGUGGUGCUGGCACCCGACCUCAGACCUCCAGUUUCCAGGACUGUGGGAAUAAGCAUCUGCUGUUCUGAGACACUCAGCCUAUGGCGUUUUCCUAUAGCGGGUUGAACAGACUAAGAUGUUCUCUUUAAAAACUUUCUUUUCUUCCUUUUUUGAUAUAUCAGUCUCCUAAUUUUCUUCCUAUUCCUCUGGAAUCUCCUUAAAGGUAUUUUUACCUGUUUCUAUCCCUCGAUUACGUGAAUUCUUCCACUUGAAGUUCUCAUAUGGUCAAAUUUUAUCCAUGCUCUCUGAGCAAUCUCAUCCAGUCCUGCCCCCUAAAUCACCACAGCUUUGCUGAACUCGCCCCUUCUCCCAGACAUUCUCCACAGGAAGUCCAUGUAUCCUGCUGGGUCUGAACAUCACCACUCGAAUCCUUGCAAAGAUCUGUGACUGAUCUUAACGCCUCUUCCCAACACUGCUUUCCUCCAGCGUUUCUCGUCUCAGUAAUGGCAUUACAUCCAGUUGCCCAAACGGGAUGCCUGUGGGUAAUUGUCCUUCUCCUUUACUGUCCUGCUCACCAGUAAAUUCCCAGGUCUUCAAAUUUUAUCUCCUCAAUGCCUGAAACCUACCUCCUUCCCUUUACUUGACUUUCACUCAUGGCUGAACCCAGGUUGCCAGCACAUUUUGCCUGAAUUACUCCCACGGUUUGGUAACUGCUUUUCCUUCUAACCAUAUCUGUGACCGUGUCGCUCUUUCAAAAUCAAUUUGAGACCCUUUGGGUUUCCUCGUAACCUCAGGAUACAGUUCUUCAUCGGGGACACAAAGGACCUUCCUGCACACCUUUCCAGGUUCUACUUAGCACUCAUUGCUCCCUGUGCAACCAGGUGUCUUACACACACACACACAGGCGCACACAUGCACAUACACACACACGCACACACGGGCCGCUCUCCCUCCUGCUCACUGGCUGGUUAGCUUCCACUGAUCUUUCACAUGUUGACUUGCAUGUGAAUUCCCUGGAGAAAACAUUCUUUGAUUCAUUGAGGCCCCUCCCACGUGCCAAGGAAGUGUUCUGGAAUGCUUCCUUCCGGGGAACUUACUUCAACAACUGUGCUUGCUUUAAACAAUCUCCCAACAGAUGGUCAGCUCAGUGAGGGCGGGCACAUAUCUCACUUCUUCACGCUCCUGUUUCUGGUUUCCAGCUCAGUUACAGACACUGAAUACUUAACAAAGCUACUUUUUUUUAAGCAAAUUGAGGAAUUGAUAUACUUUCCCAAAUAAUUAAGAUUUACACAAAAGCCCAUAAAAGUCUUCACUUCUUACUGAGGAAAGAAAAGCCACAGUCUUCAAAUUACAUUAUCCUACAAGAAUCUACACGAUCUAGUCCUCCCAUUGUUUGCCUUUUGCUUUUUGUGAGUUAUUUCCCUAGAUUUGUUUCCUUUGCUCGUUCCCAGAGCAGCCUCCUGGCCUUUCUCACGUGCACCAGUCACUUCCUUUAAGGUGGUCUUAUCUGUGGCUGUUCCCUCCGACUGGAAUGCUGUUCCCUUUGACAGCCACCUAACGUUCUCCCUCAGCUGCUUAAGACCUCUGUCUGUAUCUCAGCUUCUCAACAAGGUGUCUCCUGGCCCACUAUUUAAAAUCGCAACUCAUACUCCCCAAAACCCGGCAGAAAUGUGUGUAGUGUCUCUGAUUUAUUUUCCUCACUAGCAAUUAUCAACCUCUAAUUUACCAUAUUUUGCUGUGUGUUUGGUUUAUUUUAUAAACUCUCCCGCCUCCUUUAGAAUGUAAGCUGUCUGUGGGCAGUGGGAUUUUUCUCUGUUUAUUCACUGCUAUGUCCCUGGUGUCUGAACACGCUUGCCCUCAUUGAAUAAAUGAGUAAAUUAAUAAUAAAUAAAUAUCUAAUAACAUAAGUAACAAGUUGGUAAGGCUUUGAAUAAGUACUGACAGGGUAGUUUUAGCCUGUACAUAGAUAUGUCCUUUAAUACUUUUAAAAAUAUUCUCUUUUAAACACGAUUUGUGCUGUUUCGGGAAACAUUGUCACAGGCC